UAUAGCGCGUGGUUCACACACAU
Molecule: non-coding RNA, 23 nt
Filed under: Arabidopsis thaliana (thale cress)
Lineage: Eukaryota; Viridiplantae; Streptophyta; Magnoliopsida; Brassicales; Brassicaceae
Source: RNAcentral